This 118-nucleotide small nuclear RNA is filed under the name Neogale vison (American mink). Lineage: Eukaryota; Metazoa; Chordata; Mammalia; Carnivora; Mustelidae. The record is from RNAcentral.
GUGUUUACCUGUGGGGUAUCACAGCAGCACAUAUACUAAAAUAGGAAAAAUGUGGAGAGGAUUAACAUGGUCCCUGUGAAAGGAUGAGAGAAUCUUGAAAGUAGCAAGAAAAAAGUGA